CUGACUUUGUCUGCAAUAUUUACAUUUUAAAUUUAUCAAAAUAUUUAAUAAUUAAAUAAAAUAUUCACCGAAACAUAGCGAUAUCACUUACCUUGAGGUCGGGGUUCAUUACCAACUUUGCGGUCACCAAUUGGAUUAUCCGAAAAACCUACAUCGAUAUCAUUAUGAAGCAGUCUUGUGUAAUAUCCUCGCGAUUGAUAUUGCGUCUCUAACGGAUAUAAAUCUUUCUCGAUGUAUACCGAUACACAUCCAUAAUAUUCAAACAAUCUAAUUAAUCCCUCCAAUGAUUCAUCAUCUACUAUAUCGUGAGCACUAUAUUCAUUUGCUCCCGUAGGGCAUCGAAUAGUGAAUUUAAGACGAAAUUCUUCUCUAUUACAAUUUACUAAACGAUACAUUCUCGUCUCAAAAUGAGUAUAUGUCGUAUCUGAACGAAUCACGAUCAAUUUCUUUCGACUGCUGACAUAUCAGGGACCAUUUUCAUCCAUAAUUAAUUAUCUAUCUCAAUGAACACUAAGAGACAUCCGACGAGCCAUUUUAACUACAUAGAAAAAACUUUCAAAUCUCCUCUCAAAAUAUCUAGUGAAUAUAAUACAAAAGUUUAAACCU
RNAcentral lists this long non-coding RNA (606 nucleotides) under Ananas comosus (pineapple). RNAcentral describes it as "long non-coding RNA (ACOM_LNC009038)". The record is from RNAcentral. Lineage: Eukaryota; Viridiplantae; Streptophyta; Magnoliopsida; Poales; Bromeliaceae.